AACGCACCUUGCGCUCCUUGGUAUUCCGAGGAGCAUGCCUGUUUGAGUGUCAUAAAAUUCUCAACCUUUUCAAUCUUUUAUUGGUUGAAUUAGGUUUGGAUGUGGGAGUCUUUUGCUGGCUUCUUUAAGAGGUCGGCUCUCCUUAAAUUUAUUAGCAGGACCUUUGUUGCCCUCUCAGCGUUAGUGUGAUAAUUAUCUACGCUAUUUGCUGAAAGCAACUCAUAAAAUAGGGUUUCCAGCUUCUAAUCGUCUCUUGUAGACAAUUUAUAUGACAAUUUUGACCUCAAAUCAGGUAGGACUACCCGCUGAACUUAA
This 315-nucleotide unclassified non-coding RNA is filed under the name Odontia sp. Its description in RNAcentral is "partial contains 5.8S ribosomal RNA, internal transcribed spacer 2, and large subunit ribosomal RNA". The stretch from base 1 to 52 matches the Rfam family "5.8S ribosomal RNA", at positions 103 to 154 of the family's 154-position model. Lineage: Eukaryota; Fungi; Basidiomycota. The record is from RNAcentral.